AUUGAACGCUGGCGGCAGGCCUAACACAUGCAAGUCGAACGGUAGCAGGAAGAAGCUUGCUUCUUUGCUGACGAGUGGCGGACGGGUGAGUAAUGUCUGGGAAACUGCCUGAUGGAGGGGGAUAACUACUGGAAACGGUAGCUAAUACCGCAUAACGUCGCAAGACCAAAGAGGGGGACCUUCGGGCCUCUUGCCAUCGGAUGUGCCCAGAUGGGAUUAGCUAGUAGGUGGGGUAACGGCUCACCUAGGCGACGAUCCCUAGCUGGUCUGAGAGGAUGACCAGCCACACUGGAACUGAGACACGGUCCAGACUCCUACGGGAGGCAGCAGUGGGGAAUAUUGCACAAUGGGCGCAAGCCUGAUGCAGCCAUGCCGCGUGUAUGAAGAAGGCCUUCGGGUUGUAAAGUACUUUCAGCGGGGAGGAAGGGAGUAAAGUUAAUACCUUUACUCAUUGACGUUACCCGCAGAAGAAGCACCGGCUAACUCCGUG
RNAcentral lists this ribosomal RNA (490 nucleotides) under uncultured bacterium. Its description in RNAcentral is "partial 16S ribosomal RNA". It matches the Rfam family "Bacterial small subunit ribosomal RNA", at positions 30 to 507 of the family's 1533-position model. The record is from RNAcentral.